AGAAUAAUAAAUCCUGUGUCCAAGAGUAACACUUUAGCUUAGAGCCCCAAAUCCCUGUUUAUCACAGACAUGUUGUGAGUUCUUUUGUUUUUUAAUGAUUUAAAAGAACAUACAGGAAGGAAACUUCCAGAAUAGCAGCAUAAGGAGAACCAUGGACCUUCCCCCCAGCGGAACAAUUAUAACUGGCGAAAUUUAUUAACAAAAAACAGCCAUUUAAAAUCUCUGGAAAUUUUCCUCAGGGCAUACAGCAAAUAGAAAAACAUUUAUUCAAGAAAAUCUACUAAAUGUCAGUAAGAAUAGACAGAAUCUGCAUCUGAGUUACAAUCAGCUCAGCAAGAUAGAAACUCUACUCCAGGGGGUGCCACUAAGACCACUGGGCUCCCUCUCCCCAGCUCCCAGGCUGGGGCUACAGGAUCUCACAGGAAGCCCCGAAAUACAUGAAGCAAAACUGACGGACUGAAGGGAGAAAUAGACAAUGCAUCAAUAGUAACUGGAGACUUCAGUCCCCCAAUAUUGGAGGGGAUAAUGGAUAAUGGAUAGAAAAGCAUGCAGACGAUCAACAAGGGAAUUGAAGACGACCAAUCGGUAAACCAACUAGAUGUAACACAUCUGCAGAACACUCCACCCAACAGUAGCAGAACGCUUUCUUCUCAGGUGCCGAUGGAACAUUCUCCAGGAAAAGACAUAUACUAGGCCAUAACACAAUCCCCCAAAGUUCAAAGAACUGAAAUCAUACAAACUAUGUUCUCGGGUCACAAUAAAAUGAAAUUAGAAACUAAUAAAAGAAAUUUGGGAAAUUCACAACUAUGUUAAAACCGAACACACUACGUGAAAAUUAAACACACUCUUUGGGGUAAUUCAAAUUUUCAAAAACUGUGGUGAUUGGAAAUUGUGUAAAAUAAAAAAUUAGAAAAAGUUGGGGCUGGCCCCGUGGCCGAGUGGUUAAGUUCACGCACUCCGCUGCAGGCAGCCCAGUGUUUCGUUAGUUCGAAUCCUGGGCGCGGACAUGGCACUGCUCAUCAGACCAUGCUGAGGCAGCGUCCCACAUGCCACAACUAGAAGAACCCACAACGAAGAAUACACAACUAU
Molecule: long non-coding RNA, 1089 nt
Filed under: Equus caballus (horse)
Lineage: Eukaryota; Metazoa; Chordata; Mammalia; Perissodactyla; Equidae
Description: lncRNA (ENSECAG00000050134.1)
Source: RNAcentral